UGUGUGUGUAUCAAAGACGGUACAUAAUUAACCGGCCGAAUGAUAUUCUUGCAGAGUAUGUAGACAAUUAAACCCAGUUGAGUGAAGAAAUCGGCUCUUGAG
Molecule: long non-coding RNA, 102 nt
Organism: Octopus sinensis (East Asian common octopus)
Lineage: Eukaryota; Metazoa; Mollusca; Cephalopoda; Octopoda; Octopodidae
Exons: 4
Source: RefSeq, a predicted model, not a curated record